GAUGAACGCUGGCGGCGUGCCUAAUACAUGCAAGUCGAGCGAACAGACGAGGAGCUUGCUCCUCUGACGUUAGCGGCGGACGGGUGAGUAACACGUGGAUAACCUACCUAUAAGACUGGGAUAACUUCGGGAAACCGGAGCUAAUACCGGAUAAUAUAUUGAACCGCAUGGUUCAAUAGUGAAAGACGGUUUUGCUGUCACUUAUAGAUGGAUCCGCGCCGCAUUAGCUAGUUGGUAAGGUAACGGCUUACCAAGGCAACGAUGCGUAGCCGACCUGAGAGGGUGAUCGGCCACACUGGAACUGAGACACGGUCCAGACUCCUACGGGAGGCAGCAGUAUGGAAUCUUCCGCAAUGGGCGAAAGCCUGACGGAGCAACGCCGCGUGAGUGAUGAAGGUCUUCGGAUCGUAAAACUCUGUUAUUAGGUAAGAACAAAUGUGUAAGUAACUAUGCACGUCUUGACGGUACCUAAUCAGAAAGCCACGGCUAACUACGUG
Molecule: ribosomal RNA, 497 nt
Filed under: uncultured bacterium
Lineage: Bacteria
Description: partial 16S ribosomal RNA
Rfam family: Bacterial small subunit ribosomal RNA
Source: RNAcentral